Molecule: long non-coding RNA, 551 nt
Filed under: Medicago truncatula (barrel medic)
Lineage: Eukaryota; Viridiplantae; Streptophyta; Magnoliopsida; Fabales; Fabaceae
Description: long non-coding RNA (MTRU_LNC006099)
Source: RNAcentral
UACUUGAAGGAGAGCAUAAUUAGACCUAAUAAGAUUUUAUUCUUGAAAUACGAAGACCUUAAAGAAGAUGUUAGUUUUAACCUCAAAAGAAUUGCAGAAUUUGUGGGAUUUCCUUUCACUCAAGAAGAGGAAAAUAAUGAAGUGAUUGAAAAUAUAAUCAAGUUAUGCAGCUUUGAGAGUAUGAAGAGAUCAAAGGGAAAUCAAUCUGGAAUAAUAGGAGUCAUUGAUAAAGAGUUUUUCUUUAGAAAGGGAGAGAUGGGGGAUUGGGUGAAUUAUCUCUCCCCUUCAAUGAUAGAAAAAUUAUCCAAAGUCAUAAAAGAAAAAUUAAGUGGAUUAAGCCUAUCAUUUAAAGGGUGCCCUUAACUCAGCAACAAAGUUGGUGUUUUGUUGUAUUUAAUAUAUGUGUUUGGUGUUGGUGCUCUAUUUAUUUUCUUAAUUUGCAAAAUAAAGACACAUUACAUGUCUAUUCAGACUAUUCUAUCAUGUGGUAAUCUAGAUUGUCACCAAACAAUCCCUUCAAGAAUCAGUUCGAUGGAAAGUGUCAAUGUGUG